GAAAUGAGUAGCUUUUGGCCGUCUGUGUUAUACCACUUGUUUGCUUCUCCUGAUCUUCCGCUCCCGGUACCCGGGACGGCCCGCCACAUGACCCCUUUACUCUGUUUCUAUAUGUCACUUCUGAGUAAAACCACAAAUUUUCAAAACUUUCUCAACGGAUCUCUUGGUUCUGGCAUCAAUGAACAACGCAGCAAAAUGCGAUAAGUAAUGUGAAUUGCAUAAUUCAAUGAAUCAACGAAUCUUUUAACGCUGAUUGCGCCCGCCGGUAUUCGGGUGGGCAUGCCUGUUUUAGCCUUUUUUCCACUCUCGGGCGCAGGUUGUUGGUGGGACCCUUCGUUGAUUCGCGUUCCUCAAAUUGAUUGGACGGUCACGCUCAAGCUUCCAUAGGGUAUUACAUAAAACCCUCGUUACUGGUACUCGUCCCGGCUACGCCGUUACAUUUCAACUUCUCAAUGCUGACCUCGAAGCAGGUAUACACACCCACUGAACUAAAGCAUAUCAAAGAGAAAAGGAAAAUUAACCAUA
This 525-nucleotide ribosomal RNA is filed under the name Fusarium sp. UM95. RNAcentral describes it as "eukaryotic LSU rRNA". The stretch from base 144 to 297 matches the Rfam family "5.8S ribosomal RNA". The record is from RNAcentral. Lineage: Eukaryota; Fungi; Ascomycota; Sordariomycetes; Hypocreales; Nectriaceae.